Ctenocephalides felis (cat flea) is the source of this 529-nucleotide long non-coding RNA. RefSeq lists it as uncharacterized. The transcript has 3 exons. The record is from RefSeq and is a predicted model, not a curated record. NCBI's taxonomy places the organism in Eukaryota, Metazoa, Arthropoda, Insecta, Siphonaptera, Pulicidae.
UUGCGACUUGUAGAAAAGCAAGGUACAUAAAUAAUUUAUCUCAAAUAUGAUAUAUUGAUGAAUUAUGUAAUAAUUCUAUUUGUCAUCCCAGAAAUUAUAUAUACAAUUAUACAUUUAAAUAUCCAGUGCUUAUAACUUAUGAAAAAACAAGCAACAAUAACAAUUUAACUCAAAUAUGAUAUAUUGAUCAUUAUUAAUGUGAUAAUUCUAUUUAAGUGUCAUCCCAGAAAUAUCUAGUGAAUAGAGAAAGGAUGAAGAAUUGCAAAACAUAGCUUCGAGGAAUUCUAAGAAUCCAGAGCAACUUGCCUAUUCAGAUUUUCUGACUCCUGAGUAUCUUCUGAGUCGUGAAUCUUACAACGGACCACUUCCACCAUAGACUUUUGGAAUACCUUUUACUGGACUCUCACAGUUUCUUAGAGUUGAAGUAAUAUGUGAGCUUGCAGAGACAACAGACUACAAAAAAGAUGAAUAAUAUUAAAUAUGUGAGCAUGAAUAUUAUAAUCAUGUACCAAGGGAGUUGGAGCAAAUA